RNAcentral lists this transfer RNA (76 nucleotides) under Neurospora africana FGSC 1740. RNAcentral describes it as "tRNA-Ser (TGA) (tRNA-Ser-TGA-6-1)". The stretch from base 7 to 71 matches the Rfam family "tRNA", at positions 5 to 66 of the family's 71-position model. From Rfam's summary of the family: Transfer RNA (tRNA) molecules are approximately 80 nucleotides in length. The record is from RNAcentral. Lineage: Eukaryota; Fungi; Ascomycota; Sordariomycetes; Sordariales; Sordariaceae.
GGUCGUCGCUAGCUCGUUGGUUAUGAGCAUCCAUCUUGACGAUGGAAGGUUCUGGGUUCGAUUCCCGGGCGGAUCU